GGCGCGGUAGCCAAGCGGUAAGGCGAUGGUCUGCAAAACCGUUAUACGUGGGUUCAAUUCCCACCCGCGCCUCCA
This 75-nucleotide transfer RNA is filed under the name Acidobacteriota bacterium. RNAcentral describes it as "Acidobacteria bacterium (groundwater metagenome) tRNA-Cys". It matches the Rfam family "tRNA". From Rfam's summary of the family: Transfer RNA (tRNA) molecules are approximately 80 nucleotides in length. Their secondary structure includes four short double-helical elements and three loops (D, anti-codon, and T loops). The record is from RNAcentral. Lineage: Bacteria; Pseudomonadati; Acidobacteriota.